CCUACGGGAGGCAGCAGUGGGGAAUAUUGCGCAAUGGGCGAAAGCCUGACGCAGCGACGCCGCGUGAGGGAUGAAGGUCUUCGGAUCGUAAACCUCUGUCAGCAGGGAAGAACGGUCACUGUGCUAAUCAGCAGUGAAUUGACGGUAACUGCAAAGGAAGCAACGGCUAACUCCGUGCCAGCAGCCGCGGGAAUACGGAGGGUGCGGGCGUUAAUCGGAAUUACUGGGCGUAAGGCGCUCGUAGGCGGUAUGUCAAGUCAAGGGUGAAAUCCCCGGGCUCAACGUGGGAACUGCCUUUGAAACUGGCAAACUUGAGUGUGUGAGAGGGUAGUGGAAUUCGAGGUGUAGGAGUGAAAUCCGUAGAUAUCUGGAGGAACAUCAGUGGCGAAGGCGACUAUCUGGCACAUAACUGACGCUGAGGAGCGAAAGCGUGGGUAGCAAACAGGAUUAGAUACCCCAGUAGUC
RNAcentral lists this ribosomal RNA (465 nucleotides) under uncultured bacterium. RNAcentral's name for it is "partial 16S ribosomal RNA". It matches the Rfam family "Bacterial small subunit ribosomal RNA", at positions 338 to 795 of the family's 1533-position model. The record is from RNAcentral.